This is a long non-coding RNA of Panthera uncia (snow leopard), 2696 nucleotides long. RefSeq lists it as uncharacterized. The record is from RefSeq and is a predicted model, not a curated record. NCBI's taxonomy places the organism in Eukaryota, Metazoa, Chordata, Mammalia, Carnivora, Felidae. The transcript has 4 exons.
GCGAGGGUGGGGCCAAGAGGCCACGCGGCUGACUUGCUGAGGAGCCAGUUUAUGGGCAGGUCACCUGACCAGAUGGGAGGUUACAGACCAGCCUAAAGACAGGGAGAGGGGGACAGAGGAUCCGAAGCAGGCUCCGCACUGACAGCAGAGAGCCCGAUGUGGGGCUCGAACCCACGACCUCGAGAUCAUGACCUGAGCCAAAGUCGGACGCUCAACUGACUGAGCCACCCAAGUGCCCCUCUACUGAGGUCUUUUAAAGAAAUUCCCAGACAUUAUUUCACUUCAUCUGUAAAUUUUUUGUUUUUUUUUAAAAGGUUUUACAGAUUUGCACAUAGAAGAGGCACAAAGAAAACAAUAAAGAAUCUCCAAAGUAUAAACAGUACAAACAGCAUUCUCUGAUCAUAGAGCAAACAAACUAGAAAUUCGCACUAACAUCCAACCCACAGAAAGGCCCUUCCUCCUGGAAAUCAGACAUAUGUAUCUUUUUUUUAAUGUUUAUCUAUUCAUUUUGAGAGGGGGGAGGGGCAGAGAGAGAGGGAGAGAGAGAGAACCCCAAGCAGGCUCUGCACCAUCAGCACAGAGCCCGACGCAGGGCUCCAUCCCACUAACCAUGAGAUCAUGACCUGAGCUGAAAUCAAGAGUCAGAUGCUUAACCGACUGAGCCACCCAGGCAUCCUUCAAACACAUAUAUUGAGAUACACGCUUGCAAGAUGGGAGCUAUUCCAAAGCUGUACAAUUUCUAGAAAGUAAUGAUAUGAACAGAACAGCAAGUAUAUGAUUCUGCUCCAACAAUAUCUACAAAAAUAUCUGGUAGUAAAUAUCAGAAACUAUAAAUCAUUAAACACCUAAAUAAAGAACUAGCAAAGGACCAACAAAGUAAACAAAAGAAAGCAGAAGGAAGGAAUUAAUGGAGGUCAAAGCAGAAAUGUAACAAGUUGAAAAAGAGUGUUUCACUAAUAUGUCAAAACCGGUGGAUUGAAAAAUCAACCAAAUUGGAAAACUACUAGCUGGCGUAAUUAAAAAAAGAAAGAAAGAAAGAAAGAACCAGAAAUACACAAAGUAAAUGACAAGAGAAAAAUAAUUAGAAGGAUUUUUAAAAAUAAGAUGACCGGUGACUCCCAUUGGCUCCGUCUAUAGCCUCUGCUCACAGCUCGUUCAAUGCUUGGGUGUGGAUGCUUGUUCUGUUCGAACUUGAUCCCACUAGAAAUCUCCUUUUCUCCCUACAUCCCCCGCCCCUGGGUCCCAGGCCUCUCCCCUAGUUGCAACGAUCGAGGCUCAGCCUUUGAACUGUGUACCGAAGCCUUGUGAGCGGCUGACUCAGAGCUUGAGACCAGGAGUCAUCAGGUGUGCGAUUCUAUGUGGUGUGUGCUUAGGUUUUCUCGAGAGCUGUCACGGAAGAAAAGGAGAAAACUCAAACACAAAACUCACCAAGGGACCCUAUGAAAACCUUAAAGACCAGUUGAUCACAAAGCUGCCUGAACCAUCACAAAGCACAGAAAAAGAACGUAAGCUUCUGUGUUACUUCCACGAAGCUAAUAGAACAUCGCUAGCAGACCUGACAAAGACAGUCUAUCACUAACAAAUACCGACGCGAACAUUUUUGCAUAAAGCCAGAAGCAGAGAGAAUCCCCAAACACGUUUAAUAUGUCACGAGCAAGUGGGAUUUUUUUCCAGAAAUGCAGGGCGGUUUAAUAUCAGGAAAUCUAUCCUCUUCACAGAGCUGGGAGAAGAACCACGUGAUCGCGUCCACACACGCCAACAAGGCAUUUGACAAAAUUCAGCUCCCGGUUGAUGCUGGCUAUAAACCGCAAACCACAGGUGCUCGUGCCUGGCUCCAGCUUUGAUGAUGGAGGCAUCUACUCCAAAGACGGCUCUCUCCGCUAAACACACAGCCGGCCACGGGACUGGGUAAAGAGCCGGCUCCCCACCUGCCGGUCUCCUUGUUUCAGCCAUCUUGGUUGAUUCAGAUAACAGACCAUUUGGGCCUCUUGCUUUUUUUUUCUUCUCUUCCCACCCUUCGAAAUCCUAGGCCUAUAUUUUAAGUUCACCAGUAGAGUAUGAACCCUCAAAACCCUAGCCCCCACCUUCAACCCCAAUAAAAGUAGAAUUCCAGGACUGGGCACUCACUAACUCUGUCUCUGUCUCUCUCUCUCUGGGACCUUGCUGUGUGGCCCCGGGUGUGCUGUGUAACUUCCAGGUCCUGUAAGUAAGAAACCUUUAUUUCAAAGUUCCCUGACGGUUGUCACUGAAGGACAUCUGCCACCAGAGCGAGAACCAGUGGGGCCCGUCCAACCACAGCACUGGUUACUGCUCGGCUGAGACCAGCGCACAACAAUGACCCCAUCUGACCUUAUCUCCAAACGCCGUCACAAUCUAAGUAAAAGAGCAGUAGUUAAUUCCGGAAGCUGGACUCCGUGCUGAGACUAAAUCGCCACAUUCCCCACCCUUCGUUGUAGUUGGGGGGUAGUAGCCACGUGAUCAAGCCCCGGACAAAGAAAUGAAAAAGAAAGGAUGGGAGUAACAUGGGGACACACGUCUUUUAAAGUGGCUUCUUCCCAGACACCUGGGUGGCUCGGCCAGUGAAGCAUCCAACUCCAGCUCAGGUCAUGAUCUCAAGGUCUGUGAAUUUGAACCCCUCAUCGGACUCUCUGCUGACAGUGCAGAGUUCGUUUCUGAGUCACUGUCUCCCUCUCUCU